RNAcentral lists this ribosomal RNA (253 nucleotides) under uncultured bacterium. Its description in RNAcentral is "partial 16S ribosomal RNA". It matches the Rfam family "Bacterial small subunit ribosomal RNA", at positions 524 to 776 of the family's 1533-position model. The record is from RNAcentral.
AACGUAGGAGGCGAGCGUUAUCCGGAUUUACUGGGCGUAAAGCGCGUGCAGGCGGCGGAGAAAGUUGGAUGUGAAAGCUCCUGGCUCAACUAGGAGAGGUCGUUCAAAACUUCUCAGCUAGAGGAUGGUAGAGGGAGGUGGAAUUCCGGGUGUAGUGGUGAAAUGCGUAGAUAUCCGGAGGAACACCAGUGGCGAAAGCGGCCUCCUGGACCAUUUCUGACGCUCAGACGCGAAAGCUAGGGUAGCAAACGGG